ACCAGCCCACUGGAUUAAGCCUCAACACAAGCAGGACACCUUAACAAAUUUGUUUUCACUAACUUUUCUUUUAUUCACAGGCUUUUUGAGGCUAGGUAAUUUCAUAAUAGAGAAACCCUGGAUCAAUCUCCUCUGUGGGAACUCUAGCUGCCUUUCCCAUAUCACCAUCCAUCUUCGGCAGGAAGCAGUUAAGAGUGGUCGGCAUCCUAUUUCCCUAAGAGUCAGUUGGAGCUUCUAGGCAGAGUGGGAAGAUUGAUACAGAAUUUCAUUAUUUUGGGGCUGAAUAACAAGCACCAGCAGGAAGGAAAGCUCCUCGGUGAGGAGAACAACUGAAAUAACCAACGACAGAUUUUCUCCCUUGCCUAUCCAAAAAUGUCUUUAAUACACUAAAGGGGGGAAAUGUAGAGGCCACCAAGAGCCACGAGACCUCUGAGCAAGAUGAUUUGCAGCUGAGAGGUGGACCCUUGGGCAAUUCGUCCACAGGUGCUCCUGGUGGAGAAAGAGCCCAAGCCCAGGGCGAUCCUUAGGUGCACAGUCAUUGUCUAACACUCCCCUCACCUGUCUUGUGCUGUGUCAAUAAAAGGUUACUGCGGAGGUUGCUCAGAGCCAUCCUGCAAAUAAGGUCAGCCUGCCUCCUGCAAGCUUGUACUUC
This is a long non-coding RNA of Nycticebus coucang (slow loris), 652 nucleotides long. RefSeq lists it as uncharacterized. The transcript is spliced from 2 exons. The record is from RefSeq and is a predicted model, not a curated record. Lineage: Eukaryota; Metazoa; Chordata; Mammalia; Primates; Lorisidae.